This 76-nucleotide transfer RNA is filed under the name Pseudoxanthomonas sp. Its description in RNAcentral is "tRNA-Gln". It matches the Rfam family "tRNA". Rfam says of the family: Transfer RNA (tRNA) molecules are approximately 80 nucleotides in length. The record is from RNAcentral. Lineage: Bacteria; Pseudomonadati; Pseudomonadota; Gammaproteobacteria; Lysobacterales; Lysobacteraceae.
UGGGGCGUCGCCAAGUGGUUAAGGCACCGGGUUUUGAUCCCGGCACCCGCAGGUUCGAAUCCUGCCGCCCCAGCCA